RNAcentral lists this ribosomal RNA (442 nucleotides) under uncultured bacterium. RNAcentral describes it as "bacterial SSU rRNA". It matches the Rfam family "Bacterial small subunit ribosomal RNA", at positions 19 to 507 of the family's 1533-position model. The record is from RNAcentral.
AUGGCUCAGAGCGAACGCUGGCGGCAUUGCUUAACACAUGCAAGUCGCACGAGGGGCAACCCUAGUGGCGGACGGGUGAGUAACGCGUAGGUAUCUGUCCAUGGUGGGGGAUAACAGUGGGAAACUGCUGCUAAUACCGCAUGACACCUGAGGGUCAAAGGCGCAAGUCGCCUGUGGAGGAGCCUGCGUCCGAUUAGCUUGUUGGUGGGGUAAUGGCCUACCAAGGCGACGAUCGGUAGCUGGUCUGAGAGGAUGAUCAGCCACACUGGGACUGAGACACGGCCCAGACUCCUACGGGAGGCAGCAGUGGGGAAUAUUGGACAAUGGGCGCAAGCCUGAUCCAGCAAUGCCGCGUGGAUGAAGAAGGUCUUCGGAUUGUAAAGUCCUUUCGGCGGGGACGAUGAUGACGGUACCCGCAGAAGAAGCCCCGGCUAACUUCGUG